RNAcentral lists this long non-coding RNA (1810 nucleotides) under Homo sapiens (human). Its description in RNAcentral is "HSALNT0071561". The record is from RNAcentral. Lineage: Eukaryota; Metazoa; Chordata; Mammalia; Primates; Hominidae.
AGGCAUGGUGGCACGUACCUGUAGUCCCAGCAACUUGGGAGGCUGAGACGCGAGAAUCGCUCGAACCUGGGAGGUGAAGGUUGCAGUGAGCCGAGAUCGUGCCACUGCACCCCAGCCCGGGAGACAGGGCAAGACCCCCUCUUCAAAAAAAAAAAAAAAAAAAGAAUAAAGCAGGAUAAGGAGACAGUGACGGGCAGGGAACAGCGCUGCUUUAAAUAAGUUGGUCAGGGAAAGACACUCCAGUCAGAUGCCACUUGAGCAGAGAUCUGAGUGAAUUAACGACAUGAACUAGAGAAAGAAUAUUCCACGCCAAAGAGAACAGAGGCACAGUGGCCCAAGGCAGGCAGGAGUUUAGCAUAACUCAAGGGAGGGUCCAGAGGUCCUGCGGCUGGAGUGGAGUGAGCCGGAAAGAGGAAGGAAAGGUCACAUGAAGAGCUGGGGCCAGGUCCUGAUGGAUCCGUACCAGCAAAAUGACUCGCCUGAACCACUGAGAGGUGAUGGGACUUCAAGCCCAGAUCUUAAGAGAUCUAGAGCUUUUGCUUUCUCUCUGAGAACCCAACUGCCUUGUAAAGAAGUUCAGGCUGUCCAGCUGUAGACAGCAGCAACGUGGAGAAAGAAGCCUUGAAGGUUGAGUCCACAUGGAGGAAAAGAGAGGCAUCCCAGCUAAGAGCCAGCACCAGCGUGGCAAAGGAGGCCAUCUUGGAUGCUUCGGUCCCAGUUGAACUGUCCCAGCAGACACCAUAUAGGGCAGAGAUGAGCUGGCCAAAAUUCUAACUCGAAAAGCGUUGUGGUUUUAGGUCCCCAAGUGUUUUCUUCCUUUUUUUUUUUUUUUUUUUUAGGCAGAGUCUGGUUCUGUCGCCCAGGCUAGAGUGUGGUGACACAAUCUUGGCUUACUGCAACUUUGCCUCUUGGGUUCAAGUGAUUCUCCUGCCUCAGCCUCCCUAGUAGCUAGAAUUACAGGCGCCUGCCAGCAUGCCCGGCUAAUUUUUGUAUUUCAAAAUGUUGAAAUUAGCCACCAGCCUGGAUAAUUUCAGACCAGCUGUUGCCCAGGCUGGUCUCAAAAUCCUGAGCUCAGGUGAUCUGCCCACCUCAGCCUCCCAAAGUGUUGAGAUGGCAGGCAUGAGCCACUGUGCCUGGCCCGUGUUUCUUUUUUAUUGUGGCAAAAUGUACACAACAUAAAAUUAACCAUUUUAACCAUUUUUAAGUGUGUGGUUCAAUGGCAUGAAGUACAUUCACAUUGUUGUGCAACCAUCACCACCAUCCAUCUCCAGAACUUUUUCUUUUCUUUUUUCUUUUUUUUUGAGACGGAGUUUCACUCUUGUUGCCCAGGCUGGAGUGCAAUGGCGCGAUCUCGGCUCACCGCAACGUCUGCCUCUGGGGUUCAAGCGAUUCUCCUGCCUCAGCCUCCCUAGUAGCUGGAAUUACAGGUGCCUGCCACCACGCCCGGCUAAUUUUUGUAUUUCAAAAUGUUGAAAUUAGCCACCAUCUUGGCUAAUUUCAGACCAGCUGUUGCCCAGGCUGGUCUCGAAUUCCUGAGCUCAGGUGAUUCACCCACCUCGGCCUCCCAAAGUGUUGAGAUUACAGGCAUGAGCCACCAUGCCUGGCCCAUGAUUCUUUUUUAUUGUGGCAAAAUGUACACAACGUAAAAUUAACCAUUUUAACCAUUUUUAAGUGUGUGGUUCAAUGGCAUGAAGUACAUUCACAUUGUUGUGCAACCAUCACCACCAUCCAUCUCCAGAACUUUUUCAUGAUCUCACACUGACACUCUGUACCCACUCACCAAUAGUUCCCCUUUCCCUCCUCCUCCCAG